Molecule: long non-coding RNA, 1754 nt
Organism: Caretta caretta (loggerhead turtle)
Lineage: Eukaryota; Metazoa; Chordata; Testudines; Cheloniidae
Source: RefSeq, a predicted model, not a curated record
GGCGGGGCUGGGGGAGAGACCCAACCCCAAACAUUGGUGGAGCCGGGCCCCCAGGCCCUGAAUUUUCUGGCGCAUGGGCACCAUGGGCCCAUAUAACUCACCGUCCAUGGGUUUAUUUGACCACCUCUGUGGUGGUUUCUUCUCAUUCACCAGACAUACUGCCAUAGGUCAACCAGAGAAAUCACGGGAUUUACCAGGACACUGCAACUAACAACUCCAAUACACACGGAGGCCAAAGAGUGUGCUUAUUCACCUAAAAAGGAGAGAAAUUCCUGGUCUCCAUAGGACACUCCUCAAAUAAGGAGACAAGGUCCUUGCCCCCAAAGAAUUUCCAGUCUACAUAUUGGAUUUGGUUAGCACUUUGCAGUGCAGAGCUGGAAGAUAGGAAGCUAGGAACCCUGAAGAAGUUGUUCGUGUCUUGAGGUCAUUGAGGCCUGAUAUGAAUGACGCGUACUUGACAUGAAUACGUGCGUUGAAAGUUGGCAACUGAAGCAAGAACUUAAGGUCAAGGACUAUUAGAACUAUUUGGGCAAAAACAAUCUUAUGUUCCAAGAAAAAUACAGAAAAUCAUCAGAAAAGGAAACAACACCAGCUGGACUGAUAUAAAAUUGUAUAAGAAUUGGAGGAAAUGGCACAUUGGAUCAUGGCGGCCUGCCCAGGAUUGUGUCUUUGGAAUUGUGUGGGUAGAAGGACUAGUAAACGAAGGCAAAGAACGGAUGACACAAUGGAAUGCGUAUAAAUGGUUUCCUAUGAUUUUUACAAAUCAGAAUUGUUUAUUGAUCCAGAGCCCCAUGUGGAUAUAGAUGUGGUUUUUGCUGGCUCCCUGCAUCUUAUGAUCUUAUCCUGACGGAAGGAACCUCAACUGACCAUUGGGACCAUUCUGACCUUUGGACUCUGGCAUAGUAUGUUUGGGGUGUGAAUGUGGAGUGAGAAAGGUUUGUUUUGUAAUCAGUAAAGAGCAUUUAGAGUAUUAUAUACCAACACAGCAUCCGCUGUCUACUUGCUUCCCAUCCCGUAGGGAGACCUCUACUGCGGGUCUAACACAAGGUCGUCCGCCUAAGAAUGCUGGUCUUGGCUGCAGAAUGGGCAACUGUAUCCUAGAAAGCAGUGGCUCUGAAAAGGAUUUAGGGGUCACAGUUGACAGACAUCUGAACAUGAGCCCCGAGUGUGAUCCUGUGGCGAAAAGGGCUAAUGUGAUGUUUGGAUGUAUAAUCAGAGGAGUAAUAAGUAGGGCAAGAGUGAUUUUACUCCUGUGUACCACAUUGGUGAGACUGAUACGAUAAUACUGUGUACAGUUCUUGUAGUCACAUUUUACAAAUCAUGUUGAAACACUGGAGAGGAGCCACAAAAUGAUCACAGGGCUAGACAAAAUACCUCACAGUGAGGGACUUAGAGCUCAAUGUGUGCAGCUUCUCAAAAAGAAGAUUCAGAGGUGCGGUGACUUGAUUACAAUUUAAAUGCCUUUACGGGGAGAAAAUGCUGGGCCCUAGAGGGCUGUUUAAUGUAAUGGAGGAAGAGCCACUGCCAAGGACUGCAAAAUGAAGCAAAACAAAUUUGAAUUAGGAAUAAAUUCCCAAGUUUUAAAGGUGAGGGUGAUUAACCACUGGAACAAACUUGUGAGGGAAGUGGUGGAUCUCUGUCUCUUGAUGUCUUCAGAUCAAGGCUGGAUGCCUUUCUAGGUGUUCUUUAGGCAAACAUAAGUUAUUGGCAAAAAGAACAGAAGGACUUGUGGCACCUUAGAGACGAACAAAUUU